This 1558-nucleotide long non-coding RNA is filed under the name Pan troglodytes (chimpanzee). Its description in RNAcentral is "lncRNA (ENSPTRG00000054017.1)". The record is from RNAcentral. Lineage: Eukaryota; Metazoa; Chordata; Mammalia; Primates; Hominidae.
GCCCUACGUCUCCGCAAACCCCACGCUUCGGGGUGACCGCCUCAGACAGGACCCUGAGUCCGAGACUGGGGUAGGGGACCUGCCCGAUCCUGUAACAACCCUCGUGCUUCUGCACAAUCGCCUCCCACUAGCGGGGUCAGCAGAUUAUGAUCCAGAGGCCAAGCCCAGCCUGUCUGCUUUUGUGUAUAAAGUUCUCAUGGAACAGAGCUGUGAGCCUGCCGUGUGUGGUCUACGGCUGCCCCUGGACACAGCUGCAGAGCUGAUUCCCGCACAGACCUCGGGGCCCACAGAGGGAGGCGCUUUCCCUCCAUCAUCCCCACUGAGCACCAGCCGCCACAGCCGCUAAAACCUGCGGAACUCACUCCAUGCCCCUUGUUGGCUUUCUUCACAUAAAGUGGAUAAAACUGGGUGUUUACAGCCUAAAGCAGCCCAUGCCAAGGCACUCCUCAGGGACUGAGCCUUAGUCACAGUCCUUGUGACUACAGCACGUCCAUAGAUGGGAGCUGGCCGAGGGAUCCGUGUGCCUCCAGCUUCUCGGAGCUGGAAAGAAUCCAUACUGGAAAAAUGUUCCUUCAGUGCUCCUCCUUCUGGGAAAAAAAGACGGGGAGCUACAUCAACCUUAAGGGUUCAUGUUGCUUGAAUGUAAGCAUAAUAAAUAUUCAGCAUGUCUCCUAAGGCCUGGAGUAUCAUCAGGGACCAAGCUGGGAAAACCACAAAGAAUGACGCCCAGUUUCUAAGAGUCAUUCCAUGCUUUACAGUCAGCCCACAACCACCGAGUCCCAGGAAGCCCAGCCGAGACCGCGGCAGGUCCUGACGCAGCAUCAGCCUGAGUCUGAGCCCAGAGGAAGCUUCUGCUGCCACAAUUGCUGCGUGUGCUCAUGGCUUGGGUGCAGGCCCAACCACAGCGGACCAAGGGCAGGCUGAGAUUUGGCCUGGACUGGAGGGCUGUCUCAAGGAGGUAUCUUAAAUAGUGAAGAUGGAGAAAUAUUCAAUAAUGAAGAGCAUGAAUAUGCAUCCAAAAAAAGGAAAAAGGACCAUUUUAGAAAUGACACAAAUACUCAAAAGGCAUGGCUAUUGCACCUUGGGAGAAGCCUUUAAUCGGUUAGACUUCUCAAGUGCAAUUCAAGAUACCCGAAGGUUCAAUUAUGUGGUCAAAAUGAUGAUUAUUCCCCACCUUCUAAGAGACAAAGACCAACGAGCCACCACAGCCACCAGUCCCAGAACCCGCCAAUGCUGGGGAACGGAAAAUGAGGGAGUUCAACUCUGGCCCUCACAAUCCAGUGGAGGAGACGAAACUCAUCUGCCUCUGUCCCUCUGGGCACGCCUCAUGCCAGGUGCAUCUGUGGACAGGGGCCAUGCUCCUGGGCUUCCAAAGUUGGAGAAAGCUGCCAGGCUCAGGUGGGUACAUCACAGCAGCUGCUGCCCUCUGAACACAGUGACAAAAGAACACUGUGGGCCUGGAGCCCUGGUCUGGGGCAUUGCGCAAGGCUGUUGCACUUCUCUGAUCCCAUUUCCCCAUCUGGAAAGUGCGCUGAUUGUAUCUCCCUGUGGGCACUGA